CAGCUGCUGAGUGACUAAGGGACAGGUAGCGUAUAAUGUGUGGAUACACCAGAUAAAGGGAUGAUUCACUUCCGUGGAGGAUGGAGUGGGAUGGCAUGAGAUUUCAUCACACUAUGCAGAAUGGCAUGCAAUUUAAACUUAUAAAUUGUUUAUUUAAUAUUUUCAGACUGCAGUUGACCACAGUAAAAAGGCAGAUUGGAAUAGGGAAAAUGUUCUAAUAUGAAGAUACCUGAAUUUUCAUCUUGGUUCCAGAACUCACAAAGUGUGUAGACCUAAGGCUCAAACACAUACCAUACCAUGAACAGCCCACUCCUCUCAAAGGGAGAAUCAGCACAUUAGAGGCCAGUGGCCCAAGAUGGGGAAGAGCAUGGUGUCGGGCCCCAGAGAGUGACCGGGUCACGGAGGAAGAGAACACUGUAGAAGGACCUGGAUCCUCCCCUUGGGAGCCAGUCUCCUCCGUUUCCAGAAAUAACUUGUGCGCCUCCGGUAAAGCCACUGUGCACAGGAGAAACAGGAAUAUGAAGACCCAUAAAAAUGUUCCAGAUUUUGCUGGAAGCCAAAGCAGCCCUGGUUUAAAUCUGCUAUAGAGAUCAGAUAUUAAAAUUGGGCCUUAGAUGGAUGUCUUCUUCUCGGAUGAAACAGGCAUCUCCUGGAGCCUUUGGCAGAAACUGAUAUGUAGGCAUCAAGUCCUUCAAAGGAGUCCCCAACAGGAUCUGCAGUGCAUAAACCUGUCGGACUGAAUCUAUGUCCAUUUCUCCAUUUCCUCCAUCAGGGUCCUGACCAAUAAAUC
RNAcentral lists this long non-coding RNA (790 nucleotides) under Equus caballus (horse). RNAcentral describes it as "lncRNA (ENSECAG00000056063.1)". The record is from RNAcentral. Lineage: Eukaryota; Metazoa; Chordata; Mammalia; Perissodactyla; Equidae.